GAGAAAUCGUAAGGUACCUGAGGAGCAGCAAAUUUCACUCAACACUAAUGAGGGUCAAACAGCAUUACAGAGGUGAUUUAGCGCCGCCAGUCUGAAGCAGGUGUUCAUCAUGGCGAGCUCGACCAGCGGAUCUCUCUGUGUUCCUCUGCUCCUCUCCCUGCUGUCUGCGGUUCUUCUGCCUGAAGGUAAGCACUUUUCGAUCUGGUAAUGGCGGGUCGUAUGGGCUGGCUGGUGCCAAUGAAGGCAGGCUGAGUCUGAUUAAGGUGACGUAUAGCAGCGCAGAGGCUUAAUGCAUGGAGGAUAGAUGUGCACGCCUGCAGCGAGCCCGCUGACUCAGCGGCUCGUAUUUAUGAGCUAUGGCCACCCAUCAACAGCUGUCUAAGCGCUGACCACAACCACACAACCUGCCGCUACUGAAACUGAAGGCUCCGCCUCGAGAUGAAUGGUUUGCCAUCAUAGAAAUGACUACUGUUCUUCAGCUGCAGCUGUGUUAGCGUUCGCUGCUGAAUUACGCUGGCAGUGUUUGCUU
This 529-nucleotide long non-coding RNA is filed under the name Astyanax mexicanus (Mexican tetra). RNAcentral's name for it is "lncRNA (ENSAMXG00005000352.1)". Lineage: Eukaryota; Metazoa; Chordata; Actinopteri; Characiformes; Acestrorhamphidae. The record is from RNAcentral.